GAUAAACGCUGGCGGCGUGCCUAAUACAUGCAAGUCGAGCGAACAGACGAGGAGCUUGCUCCUCUGAUGUUAGCGGCGGACGGGUGAGUAACACGUGGAUAACCUACCUAUAGGACUGGGAUAACUUCGGGAAACCGGAGCUAAUACCGGAUAACAUGUUGAACCGCAUGGUUCAACAGUGAAAGACGGUCUUGCUGUCACUUAUAGAUGGAUCCGCGCCGCAUUAGCUAGUUGGUAAGGUAACGGCUUACCAAGGCAACGAUGCGUAGCCGACCUGAGAGGGUGAUCGGCCACACUGGAACUGAGACACGGUCCAGACUCCUACGGGAGGCAGCAGUAGGGAAUCUUCCGCAAUGGGCGAAAGCCUGACGGAGCAACGCCGCGUGAGUGAAGAAGGUCUUCGGAUCGUAAAACUCUGUUAUUAGGGAAGAACAAAUGUGUAAGUAACUAUGCACGUCUUGACGGUACCUAAUCAGAAAGCCACGGCUAACUACGUG
Molecule: ribosomal RNA, 497 nt
Filed under: uncultured bacterium
Lineage: Bacteria
Description: partial 16S ribosomal RNA
Rfam family: Bacterial small subunit ribosomal RNA
Source: RNAcentral